AAAGUGAAGAGUCGGAUGAGCUUUUGAUGAUUUUGGAGGAGCCCACAAGAAGUGGUGUAUCUGAGAUGGCUUCGGAGGGAUCCACGGAGUGUGGAGGGUCUGAAGGAGCAGCAAUAAUGUUCGAGGUGCAGCGGCAGGCCUAGUAGGAUAGCAUUGGGUGGUUGGCCUCAGGAGUCUUGGUUAUAGAGUCAGCUUCUACAGCAUCAAGGGGACUUCAGAUUCAAGUGG
This 228-nucleotide long non-coding RNA is filed under the name Elaeis guineensis (African oil palm). Its description in RNAcentral is "long non-coding RNA (EGUI_LNC058751)". Lineage: Eukaryota; Viridiplantae; Streptophyta; Magnoliopsida; Arecales; Arecaceae. The record is from RNAcentral.